GUAGUCCACGCCCUAAACGAUGUCUACUAGUUGUCGGGUUUUAAUUAACUUGGUAACGCAGCUAACGCGUGAAGUAGACCGCCUGGGGAGUACGGUCGCAAGAUUAAAACUCAAAGGAAUUGACGGGGACCCGCACAAGCGGUGGAUGAUGUGGAUUAAUUCGAUGCAACGCGAAAAACCUUACCUACCCUUGACAUGGAAGGAAUCCUGGAGAGAUCCGGGAGUGCCCGAAAGGGAGCCUUCACACAGGUGCUGCAUGGCUGUCGUCAGCUCGUGUCGUGAGAUGUUGGGUUAAGUCCCGCAACGAGCGCAACCCUUGUCAUUAGUUGCUACGCAAGAGCACUCUAAUGAGACUGCCAGUGAUAUACUGGA
RNAcentral lists this ribosomal RNA (372 nucleotides) under uncultured bacterium. RNAcentral describes it as "bacterial SSU rRNA". It matches the Rfam family "Bacterial small subunit ribosomal RNA", at positions 790 to 1167 of the family's 1533-position model. The record is from RNAcentral.